Molecule: long non-coding RNA, 931 nt
Organism: Rhineura floridana
Lineage: Eukaryota; Metazoa; Chordata; Lepidosauria; Squamata; Rhineuridae
Exons: 3
Source: RefSeq, a predicted model, not a curated record
UCUCCUAAACAACACAGAGCUUUAUUUUUUUUCAUCAGCUCCACAGUAAGAGCAAGUAAUCAAUUUGCACGACCCAAAUCAUUUCCAAGUACAACUUCAUGCCCACCAUUCAUUCUCUCGGUUGUUAAAAGCUUCUUUGCAGCCAUCCCAAAUUUUAAAAGAUGAUUUAUCUCCAGAUUUACAAGUAAAAAUAUUUGCUUUAUAAGAUUUUUUUUAACCUGCCCUUCACCAUAAGGUCCCAGGGUGGGUUGCAACAACAGAAUAUACAAUUAUAAAAACAGCAUAUAACCAUUACAAAAAUGGAACAGAGCAAUAUGGAUAGGAGCUAGUAAGUUGCUGUUAAACAACACUAUGAUGCCUUUAAAAAAAUUAUAUUUUUUUCUAAGGAACAGAUGGAUUGCAUUUCCUCUGCUGGGUGAUCCCUGAGCUAGGUGCAAGGGCCCUCAGCUAGGUGCAAGAGGAUCCCAGGUGCCUGCAGCCUCAACGAACAACUGACAGAAUACUGAGCUGGAUGUCCCACUGGGACGGUUCAGCAUAAAGUUGUUUCAUGCAAACGUGCAUUCUGGCCAAUGUAGGCUUUACAUUUGCACUGGUAAAAUGGCAAAAUGUAGCCCAGGCAUUAAUUGCACGACUUUGGAAAGAUCUGAAAGGUACUUCUGUUUUGUUGUGGUAUAGUAAAGUUUGGCAACUUGUACAAAUAGAGAAGUUAACAUGGAAGCUGAAGAUUGCAAAAGGACAAAAAUGUAAAAAUACAUUUGUUGCAGAGAGAUGGAGCUUUAUUACUCCCAAAGCUUUUCAAAACCUGUGGAUUUCAUAAAAGUAACCAAAUAAUAAUAACAGUUUAUUUAUUUGUAUGUUUAAGGGCAGGAAAAACUAUUUUAUAUGUGAAGUACCCCCCAUAACUCCCAGUAAAUGUAUGUUUUGAAUUGUU